CCUACGGGUGGCAGCAGUAGGGAAUAUUGCUCAAUGGGGGAAACCCUGAAGCAGCAACGCCGCGUGGAGGAUGAAGGUUUUCGGAUUGUAAACUUCUUUUGUUAGAGAAGUAAAUGACGGAACGUAACGAAUAAGCACCGGCUAACUGCGAGUCAGCAGCUGCGGUAAUACGGAGGAUGCAAGCGUUAGUCGGAAUCACUGGGCGUAAAGAGCGCGUAGGCGGGUUAGUAAGUCAGAUGUGAAAUCCUGUGGCUUAACCAUAGAAGUGCAUUUGAAACUGUUAGUCUAGAGUAUAGUAGAGGUAGGUGGAAUUCUUGGUGUAGCGGUAAAAUGCGUAGAGAUCACGAAGAAUACUCAUUGCGAAGGCGACCUGCUAGAACAUAACUGACGCUGAUGCGCGAAAGCGUGGGUAGCAAACAGGAUUAGAUACCCUUGUAGUC
RNAcentral lists this ribosomal RNA (440 nucleotides) under uncultured bacterium. Its description in RNAcentral is "partial 16S ribosomal RNA". It matches the Rfam family "Bacterial small subunit ribosomal RNA", at positions 338 to 795 of the family's 1533-position model. The record is from RNAcentral.